This 240-nucleotide unclassified non-coding RNA is filed under the name soil metagenome. RNAcentral describes it as "partial contains 5.8S ribosomal RNA, internal transcribed spacer 2, and large subunit ribosomal RNA". The record is from RNAcentral.
AACAAGGCGUACCUGCGGACCUGCGGAAGGAUCAUUACUGAGUCACGUGCUCAAACAACCCUUCUGUGGACCUGAAAUAAAACCGUUGCCUCGGCGGGCGGUCCCCCCCAAACCAACCCCACGUGGUGGGUUAGGGGAGACCAGACAGUCCGGUACGCUUAAGGCGUCCGGCGCCAGCCGCUGGCCCCAAACAAUUAAACUCCAGUAAUCUUUACCUUCUGAGUUUCAAUAUUUAAAAAU